Molecule: ribosomal RNA, 242 nt
Filed under: uncultured bacterium
Lineage: Bacteria
Description: partial 16S ribosomal RNA
Rfam family: Bacterial small subunit ribosomal RNA
Source: RNAcentral
AGUAAAGUGGCGUACGGGUGAGUAACACGUGGAUCAUCUACCUCUUGGCGGGGAAUAACCCUGGGAAACCGGGGCUAAUACCGCAUAAGCCUGCAAAGGGAAAGCGACGUCUUAAAAACGACGCACCGAGAGAGGAGUCCGCGGCCGAUUAGCUUGUUGGUAGGGUAAUGGCCUACCAAGGCAAUGAUCGGUAGCCGGCCUGAGAGGGCACACGGCCACACUGGCACUGAAACACGGGCCAG